UACAGAGGUCCCAAGCGUUGUUCGGAUUCAUUGGGCGUAAAGAGCGUGUAGGCGGUCCGGUAAGUCGGCUGUGAAAGUCCAGGGCUCAACCCUGGGAUGCCGGUCGAUACUGCCGGACUAGAGUUCGGAAGAGGCGAGUGGAAUUCCCGGUGUAGCGGUGAAAUGCGCAGAUAUCGGGAGGAACACCUAUGGCGAAGGCAGCUCGCUGGGACGUUACUGACGCUGAGACGCGAAAGCGUGGGGAGCAAACAGG
RNAcentral lists this ribosomal RNA (253 nucleotides) under uncultured bacterium. RNAcentral describes it as "partial 16S ribosomal RNA". It matches the Rfam family "Bacterial small subunit ribosomal RNA", at positions 524 to 776 of the family's 1533-position model. The record is from RNAcentral.